GGGGGCGUAAAGGUUUCGACGGGGGUUUGGAACUUAAAGUAGCGAGCCGUGUUUCUCUGGGUCACGUAAAAAACUGGGGAUUAAAUAUAAACGCAAACGAUAAUUACGCUUUAGCAGCUUAAUAACCGCUGCUCGUCCUAUCUAGUUUGCCCACGAGCUAGAAUAGGGCGUCGACCAAGUGGGGAACUAUCUUUAGGGUGCCUUGACUAAAGAUGGAAUAAUUAAGGCUGGCCAAGCUCAAAGCCUGCUGUUAGGCGUUGAGUGAGGCGAGAUUUCAAUAUAGCAGCUACGCUCGUAGAAGCUUUAAGGAAAGAGCUCUCGGACAGGGGUUCGACUCCCCUCGCCUCCACCA
RNAcentral lists this transfer-messenger RNA (352 nucleotides) under Tepidibacter thalassicus. RNAcentral describes it as "Standard tmRNA". It matches the Rfam family "transfer-messenger RNA". From Rfam's summary of the family: Bacterial tmRNA, also known as 10Sa RNA or SsrA, is named for its dual tRNA and mRNA-like properties. Its role is to liberate the mRNA from a stalled ribosome. To accomplish this part of the tmRNA is used as a reading frame that ends in a translation stop signal. RNAcentral also lists the same sequence under 1 other name. The record is from RNAcentral. Lineage: Bacteria; Bacillati; Bacillota; Clostridia; Peptostreptococcales; Peptostreptococcaceae.